RNAcentral lists this transfer RNA (73 nucleotides) under Sus scrofa (pig). It matches the Rfam family "tRNA". From Rfam's summary of the family: Transfer RNA (tRNA) molecules are approximately 80 nucleotides in length. Their secondary structure includes four short double-helical elements and three loops (D, anti-codon, and T loops). Further hydrogen bonds mediate the characteristic L-shaped molecular structure. tRNAs have two regions of fundamental functional importance: the anti-codon, which is responsible for specific mRNA codon recognition, and the 3' end, to which the tRNAs corresponding amino acid is attached (by aminoacyl-tRNA synthetases). tRNAs cope with the degeneracy of the genetic code in two manners: having more than one tRNA (with a specific anti-codon) for a particular amino acid; and 'wobble' base-pairing, i.e. permitting non-standard base-pairing at the 3rd anti-codon position. Lineage: Eukaryota; Metazoa; Chordata; Mammalia; Artiodactyla; Suidae. The record is from Rfam by way of RNAcentral.
UCCCUGAUGGCCUAGCAGUUAAGGAUUUGGCACUGUCACUGCCAUGGCUUGGGUUCGAUUCCUAGCCUGGGAA